GCAUCCAUGGUCCAGCGGUAGGAUAAUUGCCUUCCAUCUAGCUCAGCUAGGCAUAGCAAUUGGCACGGGUUCGACUCCCGUUGGAUGCA
Kalmusia sp. IMI 367209 is the source of this 89-nucleotide non-coding RNA. The record is from the annotation of a GenBank genome assembly. Lineage: Eukaryota; Fungi; Ascomycota; Dothideomycetes; Pleosporales; Didymosphaeriaceae.